This 465-nucleotide ribosomal RNA is filed under the name uncultured bacterium. Its description in RNAcentral is "partial 16S ribosomal RNA". It matches the Rfam family "Bacterial small subunit ribosomal RNA", at positions 28 to 507 of the family's 1533-position model. The record is from RNAcentral.
GACGAACGCUGGCGGCGUGCUUAACACAUGCAAGUCGAACGGAAAGGCCCCUUUGGGGGUACUCGAGUGGCGAACGGGUGAGUAACACGUGAGUAACCUGCCCUUGACUUCGGGAUAACUUCAGGAAACUGGGGCUAAUACCGUAUAGGAAUCCUUGCUGCAUGGUGGGGGUUGGACAGCUUCGGCGGUUUUGUAUGGACUCGUGGCUUAUCAGCUUGUUGGUGGGGUAGUGGCUUACCAAGGCUUUGACGGGUAGCCGGCCUGAGAGGGCGACCGGCCACAUUGGGACUGAGAUACGGCCCAGACUCCUACGGGAGGCAGCAGUGGGGAAGAUUGCACAAUGGGCGGAAGCGUGAUGCAGCAACGCCGCGUGCGGGAUGACGGCCUUCGGGUUGUAAACCGCUUUCAGCAGGGGCGAAGCUUGUGGUGACGGUACCUGCAGAAGAAGCACCGGCUAACUACGUG